UGACAGUAGUCACAAGAAUAUCGGGUCACA
Molecule: non-coding RNA, 30 nt
Filed under: Mus musculus (house mouse)
Lineage: Eukaryota; Metazoa; Chordata; Mammalia; Rodentia; Muridae
Source: RNAcentral